AGUGAACGCUGGCGGUAGGCCUAACACAUGCAAGUCGAACGGCAGCACAGUAAGAGCUUGCUCUUACGGGUGGCGAGUGGCGGACGGGUGAGGAAUACAUCGGAAUCUACUUUUUCGUGGGGGAUAACGUAGGGAUACUUACGCUAAUACCGCAUACGACCUACGGGUGAAAGCAGGGGAUCUUCGGCCCUUGCGCGAUUGAAUGAGCCGAUGUCGGCUUAGCUAGUUGGCGGGGUAAAGGCCCACCAAGGCGACGAUCCUUAGCUGGUCUGAGAGGAUGAUCAGCAACACUGGAACUAAGAAGCGGGCCAGCCGCCUACGGGAGGCAGCAGUGAGAAAUAUUGGACAAUGGGCGCAAGCCUGAUCCAGCCAUACCGCGAGAGUGAAGAAGGCCUUCGGGUUGUGAAGCCCUUUUGUUGGGAAAGAAAAGAAGCAGGUUAAGACCCCGCUGUUCUGACGGUACCCAAAGAAAAAGCACCGGCUAACUGCGG
This 491-nucleotide ribosomal RNA is filed under the name uncultured bacterium. Its description in RNAcentral is "partial 16S ribosomal RNA". It matches the Rfam family "Bacterial small subunit ribosomal RNA", at positions 29 to 506 of the family's 1533-position model. The record is from RNAcentral.